UCCAGCCUGGGCAACAAGAGCAAGACUACAUCUCAACUAGUCAACAAAAUCAUGACUAGUCCAGGGUGCUGCAGGCUCUCUGAUGUGUUGGUGGGGAUAGGUAGAUGGGAGACGAGGUCAGAAGGUGGUGGUGGCCAGACGGUGCAGACUGUAUUCUACUGGGAGCAGGUGCUGCGCUGUAAGCCUCUGGGAGCUGGAGGUUUUUAAGCAGGAGGUUACAUAAUCAGACAUACUUUAGAAAGACCUUUUGGAAUGAGGGCAGAUUUGGGUUAUCGGGUGUCAGAUGCCUCUGGAGCCUUGUGCCACACCCCCUCACCUCACUCGGGGCAGUGAGCACUUUCCUGUGGCUUGGAUGCACCUGGCACUAAAGCUUUUUUCCCAAGAGUACACCUCACACCUUCUGCACCCUGCUGUAGGUAUUCUCCAGAGCCACUGACUCCAGGUAGGUUGUGCCCAGCUCAGAACCACCCAGCUCCAAAAUGCAGGAGAUUUAACCCUUUCAGGGGAUUCCCUCACACAGGGAGGGAUGGAGCCAGUGGCCACACGCUUCUCCUGGUCCAUUCAGAGAAGCAACCUGCAUGUGCCCAAGUGGUGGCACCGAGCCCCAGUUGCCUACAGAGGUGAUCUCAGUAAUUCAUGUUUAUGUUGGUUUUGCUCCUCCCAUUAUUCAUUGGGCUCCUUCAUUCCUGCCUCUUUGAGUAGUUUCCAGGUCGGCUACCUGCUCACAGGUUCUAGCAAAGCUCUGCUUUAGGGAAAGGAGGAGAGCGGGGAUCCAGCAUGAGACAACAGGUUCCAAUGAUGAAGCUUUUGCAAUUGCUCAGGCAGUGAUAAAACAGCAAACAUUGCAUGCCGGGAUGUCAAGUAGGGGAAGGAGUAGGGACAGUUGUAGUGGGGAGAAUCAAAAGGUCUUGAGGAACAGUUCAACGUGAGGGUGCAGCAGAAAUAGGCAUUUCUGAUAUCUCUUGGAUUGCCGGCUGGGACCACAGUGUCAUUAACCAAAUUGAGAAAUAAAGCUGCAGGGGUCGGGUAUAUGUGUGGGAGAUUAUGGGUUCUGCUUUUCAUGGGAAGGAUUGAAGGCACUGUGGAAAGGCAGGGGGAGACGGUUAGUAGGAAGCUGGGUUCAGGAGUCUGUAGCUCAGAAAACAGGUCUGUUUCUGGCAGUUUUGUGACUCAUGAAAAUACAAAUAUUAUCUCAUGUCAGUUGCAUGGAACUCUUUUCCCAGACCUUUCGGGAAAGGGUCAGGUGCAAUGAGAGCGCCAUGGCAGUGCCCCUCUUUCCCCUGCCUCACUGUUUAGUUGCCUAUCACCAUCUUCUUCCCUUUUAAACAUUAGAACAUUUGCUCAUUACAAAUCAUAUUAUCAUGGCUUUAUUAUUUAAUUUUGUCUUCCUGAGAAAAGGGUUCAUGGUAAAGACAGAAAUGCCUCCAUCACCCCAGAGAGCAGGACACACAGGAAGGAGGGGCAGGUGUGCAGCUAACCUCUUACUCAUCCUUCAAGAUCAUCGUAGGCCAAUGAAUCCUUGAAUUUGUGGUCAACAAGAGGUCUUCUGUAGGCUGAAGUCAGGGCUGAGUGGUCUGCUUGUGAUCUCCUAGGAAUUCAAGUAAAUCCAUGUACUUCUUGAACAUAGCUCAUAGCAGAGGACUGAGCCGUGAAAAUGCUUACAUGCCUGCCUCCUCUGACACAUUAUAAGCUCCCUGAGGAUGGGGACCAAGGCUUAUUUCAUCGUUGUAUCCUCAGCAUCUGACCAAUAGCAGGCACUAAGUCAUUACUGAAAAGAACUGAGCAUGACACCCAAGGGAACAGAUGAGGUGGAGGUAGGACAAGGAAGACUGAGGAGUCUCCAUGGAACCUUCCAGGGAGAGACAGUCAAUAAACUCUCAUCAGUCGAAGUGAUUUCUAUUGUACAGUGCAAACCUAUGUGUGCCGUGAAAAACAGUAAGGGCAAUAGGGCUUAGGAGGAGGGGAAGGCUGUGGGUGCCUGGGGUGGCAAUGGGGAGCCUCACUAAGGAGGCAAAGAUGGAACGAUGAGGGUCAGCCAUCAGAUGGAAGGCUCUAGAGCAGAUGCUGCCAGCUAGGCGAGGACCAGGUGGGCCGAGCAGACACUGGCUUCAGCGUGCCCUCUCCUGCCCACCGUUCCCAUCAAUUUCAGCACUACUGCAGAAAGAGACUUUUAAACAGCAAACGUCAAGCGUACACUUCACGAGGACAGGGACCUUCAUGUGUGGGAUGUAACUCAACACCCGAGGGCAUAGUGGACGCUCAAUGAAGAGCUGUUGAACAAAUGAAGGGAUACAGAAAGUCAAGAGGGGAAAGGUUUGGAAAGCGGCGGAUGUGUCGUGCGAAAUGCAGCACGUGGUGAAAGACAAUAAGCACCCGAAGAACCUUGGUCUUUGUUCUUAUUUAUUUAUCUGUUUUUAUCAUCUCCUAUUUAUUUAUGGUCAAAGGCUGACCUAUAGAGUGUUCAGUUGUUCUCCACAGUGGUUUUACUAGUGUGCUUGGAAAAUAGGAAUGAGCUAUUUAGAGGAUUCUCUUACGGUCCUAUUCCGGAGUUUAACUGCAGCCAGUGAAAACAUCCUCGCUCGGUGGUGUAGCGUCACAUCCACAAUCAAAUCAGUAUUUCACUCUUAGAAUAUGGACUGCUUCUGUCUAUAUCUUCACAGGUGUAAGAUUUAUGUUUAACAUUGGCAUGAGAAUAAGUGAAAGUCAGGUAGUCAAAUAUCCUUUUGUAAAUAGGAAUAGGGUAAAAACCCUUUAAUAUAGGAUUGUAAUACUUGGCAUUCAAUUUAUAAUUUUUGUAGCAUUCAAUAUAUGGACUCAAUUUAUAAUUUAAUGCAUAAUUUAGUUUUAUAAUUUUAUAAGACUAUAUACUUAUAAUUAAAUUUACAAUUUAUAAUUUU
Long non-coding RNA from Homo sapiens (human), 2897 nucleotides. RefSeq lists it as uncharacterized. The transcript has 2 exons. The record is from RefSeq and is a predicted model, not a curated record. NCBI's taxonomy places the organism in Eukaryota, Metazoa, Chordata, Mammalia, Primates, Hominidae.